GGAAGAGAAGGGGAGGAACAGUGGAUAUGUGGCUCUGAGUUGUCCAGGUUCCUGUCUGUCACACCACUCCAUCAUUUUUGUACACUUUAUCCCCAAAUCAGAGGCAGAACAGAGUUCAAGCCUGCCAUUUGAUGAAAAGGGUCAAUUCUUUCAACUAGUCCUGAGAAGUGGGAAGGCCACAGGUAUGAAACAGAGAAGGCACAUUUGAAACAGCUGAAUCUUCCUCCUCAUCUUAGGGAGUCAUAGGUGGGUAACACAAUGAGGGGUGGGGAAUGGUGGGGCAUGGCUACAUCUGAGUAAAAAGGGAUCAACUGGGUCGAGGGGCAGUUCUAUACCUUCCUAGACAAACCCAGAAUUACUUCAGGAAAAUCUAAGUCAAGCCUCAAAAAAGUUCAUUUAACUUUAGUGAAUUAUUAUGCCUUCUCCCAAUGCCAGGGAGAAGACCCUGGUUCUCAAAGACCAUGCCAGGGAAGCACAAGUGUUGGCAGAUCUCAAGAAGCUGAAAAGCCUUCAAGGAGGACGUUGGUGACGGGCUGUACAUCUGUCAUCCAAGGACUAGGUUCAGUGGAGUGUGGUCAAAUUCAUCACCAAUAUAUUAGCACAGAGAAUCUUAGAAUCUCAGCAUUAGAAGAGAUGUCAGAGAACACCUAGCCCAAACCACACUUGAAUGAAAAUCUCUUGUAUAACUGCAUU
This is a non-coding RNA of Phascolarctos cinereus (koala), 693 nucleotides long. NCBI's taxonomy places the organism in Eukaryota, Metazoa, Chordata, Mammalia, Diprotodontia, Phascolarctidae. The record is from RefSeq and is a predicted model, not a curated record.